CUAACCCUGGCCUGCAGUGGCUGAAGAGAACCAACAAAUGAUGUUACACGUACCAACAAUUCUACACAUGGAGUCAUGAGACAAUGAUUGUUGACAACCUCAUGUAAAGGACAAUGAGAAGUGUAGCUCACAGCCAGGAUGCCUUUGAGUUCCUCAGCCACCACUUCAUAUCAGAAGAUCUUAAGAAUCAGGAAAAGUUUGCUCACUACUCAGUCUCCUUGACAUCUAAAGGAUGUGAUAUAGGACAGUUAUAAAUGAACCUUUGGCUUACGCGGAGACAUCAGGCAGACUGAGA
This 295-nucleotide long non-coding RNA is filed under the name Gallus gallus (chicken). RNAcentral describes it as "long non-coding RNA NONGGAT008558". Lineage: Eukaryota; Metazoa; Chordata; Aves; Galliformes; Phasianidae. The record is from RNAcentral.